CACACACUUUUUUUUACUAUAUAUGAGCUGCUCCUGAGUAUAAACCUAUAAACCACAACCCUGGCCAAACAAUGCCAACAAGUACACUUGUAGCCAGUUACGUUUGUAAAAUUGACUCUUCUACUUUUGAAAAGUGAAAAACAUUCAGAUUUUUUUUUUUUUUUUUUUUAAGUUGCAAAGUAAAACAAACGUCCUGAAAACAUAUCCUGGUUGCAUUUUUUUUUUUUUUUUUUUUUUUUUUUUUUUACUUCUAACUGGAAACACAGCUAGUUUUGCUGGUUUGCAUACUCUUUUAUCCCUUUUCAGAGUUUUUCAUUGAAUGUUUUUAAUGUUGUGCAAAUUCUCAGAACCUUCAAUGACUAAACAUAAAUAAUCUUUCUUGACUGCUUGAAUUUAACAAAGGUAAUUGUUUGUGUUGCAGUUUAGAAAAAAAUGAUAAGUUUUCAUUCUGAAGUGCAAUAAAGCUGUCACUCCCCGCAGACUGUCCUUGUGACAAACAGAAGCGAUCGUAACAUACAAGCAGCAGCAGCAAAUGGGAAGAAGGGACUGAGACUUGGAUGCUGGACUCUGAUGACCUCACCUUGUUUUUUGAGAAACCAAUUGUGCAUCUGGUAGAACCACUUCAACAGGAGGGUAACCUAUGCCAGCUGAAAGCACCUCCACCUCUUACUGACUUUCCAGAUACUCAGGAUGCACAGAAGGAGGCGGAGUCUCUCUCCUCACGAUCCAGUUUCUCUCACGAACAAACAGUUCUCCAACCUAUUUCAAAAGGAUCAGAUGGUUCCCACACGUAUUCAUCAAAAGUCAACAGUUUAAGCUUUUACAGUGAUCAGAUUGGAAAUGAGGAGCUCCAAGGUCUCAGCAACCCAAGAGGAUGUGACAGCUUUUGGAUGAGUUCAAGUUUUAGCCAUUGCUUUCUGAAAGAACGUCACAGUGGCAGAGAUGCAGAUGAAACUCUGCAGCACAACUAUCCACCUUUUGACUGUGUCCCAUCUUUUCGCAAAAGGCAGGUGUCCCGUCAUAUGCUAAUGAUGUUUGUUACAACACAACAAGUCCCACCUCACCUAAGCAAUUUAUCCACAUGAUGUUUUUGCAUUGGUGUCAGUAAAGCAGCAGGCUGAUGUACACUACUGUUCAAAAGUAUGGGGUCAUCCAGAUGGAUUCCUGUUUUCCACGAAAAGUCACAGUUUUAUGAGUUGCACAAUAAAUAGAAAAUAUAAUCAAGACAUUAACAAGGAUAGAAAUACUUAAAAGAUAAAUUGCUUUAUACUUUGCUUUUGUUAAAGAAUCCAGCAGUUAUUCCAGCAUUGCAGACCUUUGACCUUCUAUCUGUUAGUAUGUUGAGGUCAGCUACAGAAAUUUGACCCCACUCUUCUCAAAGCCCCUCCCACAAGUUGGAUUUGCUGGAUGGGUACUUCUAGGUUUCGUUUCCACGGAGUGGUCCAGACUGGACUGGAUCGGGCCGGGCCGAACUUUUUAGCGUUUCCAUUACAAAAUGGAACCGGUAAGCAGGUCCGACUGGUACCACUUUUGGUCCAUUGGAAACUAGAAUGGGCCCGAGAGGGCGGAGCUUCUGUCGUCACACAAUGUAAGCCAUUGAUUGGUGGAAAGGUUUUACGACAAUAGGAAGUGUCCAACCAGCACUUUUCCCGACUCAAGAUCCAAACCGAAGGUUCUGUCCUCUUUACAGCUGGACUUUUCUUCGCCCCAGUGUUGAACCUUUCCUGCUUUGUUUCCCGACCGUGUUCGGGGGAUGCAGGGGAGAUUUUCUCCGGCCGAAGAGCUGCUUCGUGAAGCCAAAGAAUCAGUCUCAGAUCUUAAAGGAACUUUUUAUCAUUACUCUUCCCUGCACUGCCAAUUGACAACAACCGUCGGCAGGCUAACACGCUGCCUUUUUUUUCCCUCUCUCCUCGCAGCGGAUUAUGCCGAUCCUUGUGUCAGGCCUUAGUCCUUUUCUCCUUAGAACAGCUUUAGAUCUGUUGUUAUUCUGACCCACAGACUUCCACAAUUUUCACACCUUUAUCUCACAUCACAGUUUAUUCAAGAGGCCAGAGAUGACCAUCAGAAGUGACUCAUCCACCAAGAAUGACCCAGAGACCAGCAGCAGCCAGACAGCAUCCACACCUGAAGUUUAUAGAAAUCAGGUUACCAUGACGACAGUUCCUCUUUAGCCGAUACAGUCGGUCACCUUUCUUCACCUUUCACUCUUAAGCCCUUUCUUUUGCAGCUUCCUCUGGGCUUUUCUGCACCAAGUGGUCGACUCCUGCAGGCGGUGCAACGCGCAGAAACACAGAGCGCAAGGAGAGCGGUGGUUCCCCCCAUGACGCCUGAGCCGCUGCACAUUCCAGGUCUCACACAGCACUGGAACAGCCACGGAGAAUCGCUGCAGCUUCUGUUGGCUGUUUACAAUUGUGUCACUACCGUAGCUUCUGUGAAGGGUUAUCAUUAAUGAGAAAUCCAACAAUAACCAGGUCAGUCGCUGCCACUGUUGGGUUUGAUGAGGUGAGCUGCCUUGCUGGAAACAUUUUGGUCCCAUGGUGGUAAAUGGUAUACACAAGCUAAAAAACCCUCAGAAAACACUUUACAUUGUGCUGGAUCAGAAUGAAAGUCUCUAUUUGACUAAAUUAAUUCAUAUUAAGCAGUACAAAUCACCAAGGACUGUUGAUGUAAAGCACAUGUGUCAAUGUGUCAAAGUCGAGGCCCGGAGGCCGGAUCCAGGAUAGAAUAAUAAUCACUAUAGUGAUUCACUUUUCCUCUAUUUCUUUAUUAUUUUUCUUCCAUACAUUUUUUGGACGUCCAUAGCUCACACCUUUACUAUUUCUUUUGAUUGUUUCUAUUAAUGUUUUAUUUAAAGCACUUUGAAUUGUCUGUACAUGAAAUGUGCUACACAAAUAGACUAGCCUCACCCAUUGACAGCUGUAUGUAAUAUUAGUGGUAACCCUUAGCACAUGUCUUGACUCGUGUGUCUGCUGUGACACUAAGGUUUGAUUGUACAAUUAGUUCAUAAAUGUUGAAGGGGCUGUGAUGGUUAUGCUGCCACUGUCGUAAAAUUUAAUGAGAGAAAUACAUUCUGAUUAGUCUUUGUUUUAAAUAUCAUUAAAUAACGCUUUCAACUUUUUCUGUAACUGGGGAUUUUAACACUUAAAGUGGGUUAAUUGUGAGCCUGCAUGUAUGAAGUUCUUUUUUUUUCCCAUCAUGUUGGAUUCUAUAAUUAGUCAUUGGAGUUCUCAUAAAUCAAUAGAUCGUUUUAUAGAUAAAUAUUUACCAUUGACUACAACUCUUUGGUGAUAAAUCACAAGUUAACCAGUCAUAACUAAAAUACGCCAAUCAUAGGAUCUCGCCCUAAGAUUUAUUUUAAAUUUUGGCCCCUUGUGCGAUUGAGUUUGACACCCCUGAGCUAGAUGGAAGCUAUUGUUUAUUUACUGUAGAAGCUUUUUGCAUAUUAUGUUAUUUAUGCUUUUGUACACAAAAAAUGUUUAUCCUAUGACUUCUCUUUCUUUGUUAAUCUUCUGAAGUCAUAAAAGCCUAAUAAAAAAAAUGUUU
This 3543-nucleotide long non-coding RNA is filed under the name Oryzias javanicus (javanese ricefish). Its description in RNAcentral is "lncRNA (ENSOJAG00000012603.1)". Lineage: Eukaryota; Metazoa; Chordata; Actinopteri; Beloniformes; Adrianichthyidae. The record is from RNAcentral.